CAGGUACAAUCUGCUCUCUCAGUGUGCAUCUUGAUAUGAAGACAUCAUGAAGGAAAGCAGAGCUGACUGACUGGCAAAAACAUAACGGUGGAUAGAACCCAAAGAGAAAACAAAGCCCAAACAGUCUCAGCUCCUUUACUCUAUGCGACCAAUGGCAUUUCAACCUCCCUCUACAGUUUGAUACCUUCUUCUAUAGUUACAGAAUUCUUA
RNAcentral lists this long non-coding RNA (210 nucleotides) under Homo sapiens (human). RNAcentral's name for it is "HSALNT0249610". Lineage: Eukaryota; Metazoa; Chordata; Mammalia; Primates; Hominidae. The record is from RNAcentral.